This 836-nucleotide ribosomal RNA is filed under the name uncultured Bacillota bacterium. RNAcentral's name for it is "bacterial SSU rRNA". It matches the Rfam family "Bacterial small subunit ribosomal RNA", at positions 58 to 904 of the family's 1533-position model. The record is from RNAcentral. Lineage: Bacteria; Bacillati; Bacillota.
CAAGUCGAACGAUUAAGACUCCCUUCGGGGAGUGUAUAAAGUGGCGCACGGGUGAGUAACACGUAAGUAAUCUACCUUCGAGUGGGGAAUAACAGUCGGAAACGGCUGCUAAUACCGCAUAAUGCAGCGGCAUCGAAAGAUGACAGUUGUUAAAGGAGCAAUUCGCUUGAAGAGGAGCUUGCGGCAGAUUAGCUAGUUGGUAAGGUAAUGGCUUACCAAGGCUACGAUCUGUAUCCGGUCUAAGAGGACGGUCGGACACACUGACACUGAAUAACGGGUCAGACUCCUACGGGAGGCAGCAGUCGGGAAUUUUGGGCAAUGGGCGAAAGCCUGACCCAGCAACGCCGCGUGAAGGAUGAAGUUUUUCGGAAUGUAAACUUCGAAAGAAUGGGAAGAAUAAAUGACGGUACCAUUUAUAAGGUCCGGCUAACUACGUGCCAGCAGCCGCGGUAAUACGUAGGGACCAAGCGUUGUUCGGAUUUACUGGGCGUAAAGGGCGCGUAGGCGGCAAUUCAAGUCAGCUGUGAAAUCUCCGGGCUUAACUCGGAACGGUCAGCUGAUACUGCUUUGCUAGAGUGCAGAAGGGGCAAUCGGAAUUCUCGGUGUAGCGGUGAAAUGCGUAGAUAUCGAGAGGAACACCUGAGGUGAAGACGGGUUGCUGGGCUGACACUGACGCUGAUGCGCGAAAGCCAGGGUAGCAAACGGGAUUAGAUACCCCGGUAGUCCUGGCCCUAAACGAUGAAUACUUGGUGUCUGGAGUCAUUAUUGCUCCGGGUGCCGUCGCUAACGUUUUAAGUAUUCCGCCUGGGGAGUACGCACGCAAGUGUGAAACUCAA